CAAAAGAGCAUCAAAACCCAAUCCAGGUUUAGGUUAAUGGAGUUCAGAAGUCAUCUUUUCGUGGAUUACACCAAUUAUUUUGCAACUAUCGUAGUGGCCCAACAAAACAUACGCCUGAAGGUUGAGAAAUACUGUCAUGCUCUGUAUUUGUUUGGCCAGCUGACAGACAUGUCCCUUGUCCCCUGACUUUUAAGAUGCUGUCUACGCCCCAAAGCAGCUGUUAGGCUGAAGCCCGAAUGGGUCUGUCCUGUCUGAUGCUCCUUGGGGAUUUGAUUUCUGACCCCUACAACACUGUUUUAUACCUGUGCCCUCUAGUCCCUACCCCAUGACCCCCCUUUCACCCUCACCUCCCCCAUUAGAAGUGCUUAUUAUGGACAAAUCAAGAAUGAGAUGGGAGACCAAAGCGAGGGAAUACUUUGACAGUACAGCCUGUCCAUUUAAAUGGUUACAUCAC
Paramisgurnus dabryanus is the source of this 454-nucleotide long non-coding RNA. RefSeq lists it as uncharacterized. The record is from RefSeq and is a predicted model, not a curated record. NCBI's taxonomy places the organism in Eukaryota, Metazoa, Chordata, Actinopteri, Cypriniformes, Cobitidae.